GCCGGCCUGGUGCACGGCGUCGACCAGCUCGCGGCUGGCGUCGCGCUGAUUGAUGGCGCAGCCGUUCGAGCCAGUCGGCCGGCAC
Molecule: transfer RNA, 85 nt
Filed under: Bordetella pertussis
Lineage: Bacteria; Pseudomonadati; Pseudomonadota; Betaproteobacteria; Burkholderiales; Alcaligenaceae
Description: tRNA-Ala(cgc)
Source: RNAcentral